GCAAGCAGGCCAAGCCCCACUCCUCAAGAUGGAGGAGGAGCUGCUGCUCCCGGUGGGGACUCCCCAGUAGGCCACUGGGGGAAGCCCCACGACCCAGACAGCAGGUGGAGAGCAGCAGCUGGCCGGAGAUCGACUUCAGCGAGAAACUGUGCGGAGCUCCAGCAGCUGGACUUCCUGGAGCAGAAGAGCCGCUGAACCCCGCCCCUGCUGAUCUCACUGCACACAGCCUAGGGCCCCACCCGCCGAGGACUCCAGAACCUUCUCCUACCAGCUCGCCCAGAGACCAAGCCAAGAGAGUGGUCUCUGAGGAGCCCGCUAGAAAGGCAAGGCGAGGCCCGCAGAGAAGGAUGCCAAGCCUGUAGAAGCAGAGACGUCGGGGAUGGGGGACCUGCCCUGGGCGCCGCCAGAGGCCCAAGCGCCCAGCACCGCAGGAGCUGGAGACGUCGCUGAGCACCAGGUGGCGCCGGCGCGGUUCCUACAGGGAGCCUGGAGGCAGGCUGCGGGGUGGCUGUGCCGGGAGACUGGAGCGGCUCCUGGCUCCGCGCAGGCAGGGCCCCCAGAGACAGCUCAUGCAGCAGAUCCGCAGCCCCGGGGCCCUCAGGCACCGCCGCGGCUGCCGCCCUCGCUCAGUCCCGAGCGCGUCCACCCUGGCCAGCCAGCUGCCCCCGCUGAACCUGCGCCGGGCGCUCCGGCUCUCCGUUCGGGCCCCAGCCAACCCCGCGGGCUCAGGCUCCCAGUUCCUGUCCCAGCCUGCGCCGGCUCCAGCGCCCCCGGCUCUCCAGCUGCUCUUCCCGACUCCUAUCCUUGGCCGCCCCCAGCGCGGAACCGACCCGCGACCCUACCGCCAACAUCGCGGGUCUCGCCUCUCGCAGCCUUUUUGGCGUCCGCGCCUCAGCGUUGAAGCCAGGGCCCCUCGUGAGCUCGGCGCCCAGCCUGUCAAGUCCUCUUCUGCCUCAGCUCUCACAGCAGUGUCUUCCCCGCCUGCUGGUCGGCAUCGCGCCACAGCCAAUGUCUCCUGUUGCUGUCCGCCCCCGCGAAGCGCUGCAAGGGCCAGCGCCCAACCUGUCGCUGCGGAAGACCGGGGCAUAGAACCUGUCCUGGUGCUGGGCAAGCGCUUCCGCCCCAAGUCCCCGACCUGGGCAACCUGGAGGAGCCCAGGGAAUAGCGCUCAGGACCCAGAGGCUGGACAGCCAGCCCGCCCGCCCGUCCCUGGCCACGAGGCGCCCCGGACCUGACCACCGCCCC
Molecule: long non-coding RNA, 1245 nt
Organism: Homo sapiens (human)
Lineage: Eukaryota; Metazoa; Chordata; Mammalia; Primates; Hominidae
Exons: 1
Source: RefSeq, a predicted model, not a curated record